Macaca fascicularis (crab-eating macaque) is the source of this 148-nucleotide unclassified non-coding RNA. It matches the Rfam family "Metazoan signal recognition particle RNA". Rfam says of the family: The signal recognition particle (SRP) is a universally conserved ribonucleoprotein. Lineage: Eukaryota; Metazoa; Chordata; Mammalia; Primates; Cercopithecidae. The record is from Ensembl.
GCUGGGUACAGUAGCAUGUGCCUGUAGUCCCAGCUACUUGGGAGCCUGAGGCAGGGGUAUCACUUGAGCCUGGGAGUUUGAGGCUGCAGUGAGUUGUGCUCGAGCCACUGCAUUCCAGCCUGAGCAACAAAGUGAGACCCUGUCUCUA